CUGCACUGACUGCUGAAGACGGUGCACCGACUGCACUAGAAGACCUUGUUGCUCCAAGAAUUAAUUUUGAUGAUUUCAAAAUAUUUGAGGGGGUUACUAAUGAUUUUGACUUGAAAAAAAUUUAUUAUAUUUCAGGGAUAAAAUCAUAAUUUUAUCAAAUUCUGAUAAUUUUAUCAAAUUCUGAUUUGAAAGCCUCAAGAACAAGAACAGAAGAUUUAUGAUCUAUUGGAGGUAAUUUUAUAUUUUUUAGAUGUAUAUUUUGAGAAAAAAUUAAGUUUAAAGAAAAGGAUAGACCCUAUG
This 300-nucleotide long non-coding RNA is filed under the name Elaeis guineensis (African oil palm). RNAcentral describes it as "long non-coding RNA (EGUI_LNC016502)". The record is from RNAcentral. Lineage: Eukaryota; Viridiplantae; Streptophyta; Magnoliopsida; Arecales; Arecaceae.